RNAcentral lists this long non-coding RNA (201 nucleotides) under Lathyrus oleraceus (garden pea). RNAcentral's name for it is "Pisum sativum (pea) long non-coding RNA (PSAT_LNC031429)". The record is from RNAcentral. Lineage: Eukaryota; Viridiplantae; Streptophyta; Magnoliopsida; Fabales; Fabaceae.
GAAGAUGGAGAGGGAAGGGGAAAUAGAAACACAAAUUGAUCAUGAGAGGAAUUUCAUCUGAUCAAUACCAUCCAUUCAGUUUGGGAGAUGAAAUGUACAUUUUAUCAAUCCCCUAAAUCCAAUAGUUUUGAUCAAACAAAAUCUAAAUCAACCAUGACCAGGGCGUAAACAGAAAGUUAAACAUCACAAGACCAUAAAAAU